GAUCCUGGCUCAGGAUGAACGCUGACAGAAUGCUUAACACAUGCAAGUCAACUUGAAUUUGGGUUUUUAACUUAGAUUUGGGUGGCGGACGGGUGAGUAACGCGUAAAGAACUUGCCUCACAGCUAGGGACAACAUUUAGAAAUGAAUGCUAAUACCUGAUAUUAUGAUUUUAAGGCAUCUUAGAAUUAUGAAAGCUAUAAGCACUGUGAGAGAGCUUUGCGUCCCAUUAG
Molecule: ribosomal RNA, 231 nt
Filed under: uncultured bacterium
Lineage: Bacteria
Description: partial 16S ribosomal RNA
Rfam family: Bacterial small subunit ribosomal RNA
Source: RNAcentral